This 1647-nucleotide long non-coding RNA is filed under the name Aquilegia coerulea. Its description in RNAcentral is "long non-coding RNA (ACOE_LNC001716)". Lineage: Eukaryota; Viridiplantae; Streptophyta; Magnoliopsida; Ranunculales; Ranunculaceae. The record is from RNAcentral.
GUUGUUCUAUUUCCCAUUGUUGUUGAGUUUCUUUGUUUUGUCGCCUUAUUUCUCUUAUUUUUUAUCGGUAUCUUCUUUCUAGUGUUUUUUUUUUUUUUUUCUUUCUUCGUAUCGUUCAGCUCUUUUUGUUUUUUCUUCAUAAUAUUUUUCCAAACUGUCAGUAGCUUUUUUCCAAUCAAUGAGGUAGUCUGACUCUCUUUUCGACAUCUUUUACCUAUAGAUUAAACAAAAUAAAAAAGUCAAAUAGAAAAUAUUGAGUAUUAGAAUAGUUUUUCUAGUUUUACCUUAGUUAAUAAUGAAUUAUAUAUUGUAAUUUAUAUUAAAUUUUUUAAUUUUUUUUCUUGAAAAAAAAAUGUUUGAAGUUAGUUUGUUGUAAAUAUUCCAUUUUGAAACAGUCAUAUACCCAAAACUCUAUUUACUAAUUACCAUAAGGACAUGGUGAAAAAUGGAGAGAGGUGGAUGAAAGAAACAUCACAAGCAUGUAUGGUUGUUGCCACUCUCAUUCCAACAGUUGUAUUUGCAGCAGUCUUCACUGUUCCAGGAGGAAAUAAGAGUGAGACAGGGGUCCCUGUUUACCUAACGUCAGCAAUGUUCAUGGUAUUUAUCAUAGGAGAUUCACUAUCACUUAUGUCUUCCUGCACUUCAAUAUUGAUGUUCCUAGCUAUCCUUACAUCACGUUAUGCAGAAGAAGAUUUCCUCCUUUCAUUGCCUAGAAAGUUAAUACUUGGUCUUACGACCCUAUUCAUCUCUAUUGCCACCAUGAUGACAGCUUUUUGUGCAAGCCUUUUCAUUUUACUUCACGAUAAAUCUGAUCUAUUCCAUUUUCAGCAUUUCCGGAAAGAUCAUGGAACCAAAUUUUAAGCAAUUUAAUCAUAUUCACAUAGAAGAUACAAUUGUGUGUGCAGAUCUGCACUUCUACACCCCAAUCAUAAUGUAUUUUUUAGAAAUUACUUUAAUGAUCUUUAUUAAAAUAACAUAUGAGGGAAGUCUAAACUAUGAUUUGGUUACAUAUUGUCUAAUGGCUUUGCUAUAUGUUGAUCAACAUUCUUAAUUAGUGAAUAGUCAUCCAAUGAGCAAAGGGUAGUUAAGCUAUACGAUGAGCUAUUCAUUGUGUAAUUAGAAUCACUGGAUCUAAAAUAUAUUAACCUUCUUUCUACAUUCAAGACUUGUAAAAUGAAUUUUAUAGUAUUAAAAGAGCAUUAAAGCCUUACAGGAAAGGGAACCUCAUAAUUUUAUUAAUGAAUUAACUGGAAUUUGGUUUCUUAAUAGUAGUAUUAUUUCCUUAGAAUGUUUCAAUUAGCCUAAAAUAAGCAAACAGAACAUAACCUUAAAGCACACCAAAUUACCAAACCCAUCAAUUACCACUCAAUCCACAAAUAUAGUAUCUAAAACCUAGACAUGAAUAUCGCAGAAUAACAUAAUCAGCAAACCCUAAACCUUAAGAAAGCAGAAAUCGUCAUUGAUAUAGAUUGUAAUAAGACAAGCUUAGAAACCCCCCAAAAUAAUGUUCUAUCAAGAAUAAAUUGCUGGAAAAAGCCCUAACAAUUAGAACAAAGCGAAAAAAAGUACAGUAGUACUUACAAUGAUACGACCUUCAAUCCUCAAAUCCUUCUGCUCAAAAAGCCAAAUUUGAAUCCUAGCUUUCUG